This is a non-coding RNA of Mesocricetus auratus (golden hamster), 198 nucleotides long. NCBI's taxonomy places the organism in Eukaryota, Metazoa, Chordata, Mammalia, Rodentia, Cricetidae. The record is from Rfam.
CUCACUUCUUGGCCUUUGGACUAAGACCAAGUGUAGUAUCUGUUCUUAACAGUUUAAAAACAGAAUCUUACACUUUGCAUGUUUCUCUGAAACCUGCCUCCCAGCACUUAAAGAAUAUUCUGUGUUCUUUUAUACUGAUAUAGCCUUUCAGAGAGCUACAGAGUUCUUUACACUAUGGUGUCACCUAACUUAAUCAUU